UACAGAGGUGGCAAGCGUUGUUCGGAAUUACUGGGCGUAAAGGGCGCGUAGGCGGCCUUCUGAGUCAGACGUGAAAUCCCCCGGCUUAACCUGGGAACUGCGUCUGAUACUGGGAGGCUAGAGUGCGGGAGAGGGAUGCGGAAUUCCAGGUGUAGCAGUGAAAUGCGUAGAGAUGCGGAGGAACACCGAUGGCGAAGGCAGCCCCCUGGGCUGACACUGACGCUCAGGCACGAAAGCGUGGGGAGCAAACAGG
This 253-nucleotide ribosomal RNA is filed under the name uncultured bacterium. Its description in RNAcentral is "partial 16S ribosomal RNA". It matches the Rfam family "Bacterial small subunit ribosomal RNA", at positions 524 to 776 of the family's 1533-position model. The record is from RNAcentral.